CUAUACAUGCAGUCGAGCGAACGGACGAGGGUGCUUGCACUCUCUGAUGUUAGCGGCGGGCGGGUGAGUAACACGUGGGUAACCUACCUAUAAGACUGGGAUAACUUCGGGAAACCGGAGCUAAUACCGGAUAAUAUUUAGCUUCGCAUGAAGCAAUAGUGAAAGACGGUUCUGCUGUCACUUAUAGAUGGACCCGCGGUGUAUUAGCUAGUUGGUGAGGUAACGGCUCACCAAGGCAACGAUACAUAGCCGACCUGAGAGGGUGAUCGGCCACACUGGGACUGAGACACGGCCCAGACUCCUACGGGAGGCAGCAGUAGGGAAUCUUCCGCAAUGGACGAAAGUCUGACGGAGCAACGCCGCGUGAGUGAAGAAGGUUUUCGGAUCGUAAAACUCUGUUGUAAGGGAAGAACAAGUACGUUAGUAACUGAACGUACCUUGACGGUACCUUACCAGAAAGCCACGGCUAACUACGUGCCAGCAGCCGCGGUAAUACGUAGGUGGCAAGCGUUAUCCGGAAUUAUUGGGCGUAAAGCGCGCGUAGGCGGUCUCUUAAGUCUGAUGUGAAAGCCCCCGGCUCAACCGGGGAGGGUCAUUGGAAACUGGGAGACUUGAGUGCAGAAGAGGAGAGUGGAAUUCCAUGUGUAGCGGUGAAAUGCGCAGAGAUAUGGAGGAACACCAGUGGCGAAGGCGGCUCUCUGGUCUGUAACUGACGCUGAGGUGCGAAAGCGUGGGGAUCAAACAGGAUUAGAUACCCUGGUAGUCCACGCCGUAAACGAUGAGUGCUAAGUGUUGGGGGGUUUCCGCCCCUCAGUGCUGCAGCUAACGCAUUAAGCACUCCGCCUGGGGAGUACGGUCGCAAGACUGA
Molecule: ribosomal RNA, 868 nt
Filed under: uncultured Macrococcus sp.
Lineage: Bacteria; Bacillati; Bacillota; Bacilli; Caryophanales; Staphylococcaceae
Description: bacterial SSU rRNA
Rfam family: Bacterial small subunit ribosomal RNA
Source: RNAcentral